Molecule: small nuclear RNA, 107 nt
Organism: Molossus molossus (Pallas's mastiff bat)
Lineage: Eukaryota; Metazoa; Chordata; Mammalia; Chiroptera; Molossidae
Source: RefSeq, a predicted model, not a curated record
GUGCUCAUUUUGGCAGCAUAUAUACUAAAACUGGAAUGAUACAGAGAAGAUUAGCAUGGCCCCUGUGCAAGGCUGACACGCUGAUUCAUGAAGGAUAUAAAGUACAA